GGGCUGACUAGAGUGCAGUAGGGGAGUCUGGAAUUCCUGGUGUAGCGGUGAAAUGCGCAGAUAUCAGGAGGAACACCGGUGGCGAAGGCGGGACUCUGGGCUGUAACUGACACUGAGGAGCGAAAGCAUGGGGAGCGAACAGGAUUAGAUACCCUGGUAGUCCAUGCCGUAAACGUUGGGCACUAGGUGUGGGGGGCAUUCCACGUUCUCCGCGCCGUAGCUAACGCAUUAAGUGCCCCGCCUGGGGAGUACGGUCGCAAGGCUAAAACUCAAAGGAAUUGACGGGGGCCCGCACAAGCGGCGGAGCAUGCGGAUUAAUUCGAUGCAACGCGAAGAACCUUACCAAGGCUUGACAUACACCGGACCGUCCUGGAAACAGGUCCUCUUCUUUGAAGCUGGUGUACAGGUGGUGCAUGGUUGUCGUCAGCUCGUGUCGUGAGAUGUUGGGUUAAGUCCCGCAACGAGCGCAACCCUCGUUCUAUGUUGCCAGCAUGUGAUGGUGGGAACUCAUAGGAGACUGCCGGGGUCAACUCGGAGGAAGGUGGGGAUGACGUCAAAUCAUCAUGCCCUUUAUGUCUUGGGCUUCACGCAUGCUACAAUGGCUGGUACAGAGAGAGGCGAACCCGUGAGGGCAAGCGAAUCCCUUAAAGCCAGUCUCAGUUCGGAUCGUAGUCUGCAAUUCGACUACGUGAAGUCGGAGUCGCUAGUAAUCGCAGAUCAGCAACGCUGCGGUGAAUACGUUCCCGGGCCUUGUACACACCGCCCGUCAAGUCACGAAAGUCGGUAACACCCGAAGCCGGUGGCCUAACCGUAAGGAGGGGGCC
This 824-nucleotide ribosomal RNA is filed under the name Brevibacterium sp. RNAcentral's name for it is "bacterial SSU rRNA". It matches the Rfam family "Bacterial small subunit ribosomal RNA", at positions 634 to 1454 of the family's 1533-position model. The record is from RNAcentral. Lineage: Bacteria; Bacillati; Actinomycetota; Actinomycetes; Micrococcales; Brevibacteriaceae.